This 213-nucleotide unclassified non-coding RNA is filed under the name uncultured Agaricales. RNAcentral describes it as "sequence contains ITS2". Lineage: Eukaryota; Fungi; Basidiomycota; Agaricomycetes; Agaricales. The record is from RNAcentral.
UAUUCUCAACCUCCCCAGUUGGUAUCAACUGGUUUGGUAGGCUUGGAUGUGGAGGUCUUUGCUGGCUCCUUUUCAGGUUGUCAGCUCCUCUGAAAUACAUUAGCUGGACAGUUUGCAAUCCGUUAACUGGUGUGAUAAAUAUCUACGCCUGUAGGGAUUGCUCUCUGCUUGUCCCGCUACUAACAGUUUCCCAAUGAGGGAAAUAUGAUGAAU